AAUUUCAUGGGAUUUUCAAGGCCCCAUUCGCAUUCACUCAUAUUUUUUCCCCAAUAUUUACACCACGAGUGAAAUUAACGAACCUCACCAUCUAACAAUCCCACUGUUCACAUCCAUCGACCAAGUCCUCCGCCGCCUCGGAGUCGACGUCGUCGUCUGCUCCAAAUCCAUAAACCUCACCCUCCUACGACUCGUCGUUCGAGGCGGCGUCGGCGUCCCCAACCUUCUCUCCGAACCCGAACCCGAAACCGCCGACGACUGGACCCCGCCAAAACAACCGAACAAACCCCGCAAAAACCGCAUCAACCCACCACUCUGUCUCCCUCUUCCUCCAUUCCUCGACCACGAAAUC
This 352-nucleotide long non-coding RNA is filed under the name Prunus persica (peach). RNAcentral describes it as "long non-coding RNA (PPER_LNC002812)". The record is from RNAcentral. Lineage: Eukaryota; Viridiplantae; Streptophyta; Magnoliopsida; Rosales; Rosaceae.